GGGGAUUUAGCUCAUCGGUAGAGCGCUUGCCUAGGAAGCGCAAGGUCCUGGGUUCAAUCCCCAGCCCCG
This 69-nucleotide transfer RNA is filed under the name Rattus norvegicus (Norway rat). It matches the Rfam family "tRNA". From Rfam's summary of the family: Transfer RNA (tRNA) molecules are approximately 80 nucleotides in length. Their secondary structure includes four short double-helical elements and three loops (D, anti-codon, and T loops). The record is from Rfam by way of RNAcentral. Lineage: Eukaryota; Metazoa; Chordata; Mammalia; Rodentia; Muridae.